UGUAGGUGGCGGCGCAAAGGGUGGUUGAAGUGCAAAGAUACCAAAAAAGGAAAUGGAGUUGAAUGUGCUUCAUCGGUGACGGAUCAGAACUGGGGUUGAGUCCAUUGGGUUGCUGGGAGGUGGAGGAUGAAGUGGUGAAGAAAUGGUGGUCGGAGGUGGCGCGACAGCGGCGCUGCG
Molecule: long non-coding RNA, 177 nt
Organism: Juglans microcarpa x Juglans regia
Lineage: Eukaryota; Viridiplantae; Streptophyta; Magnoliopsida; Fagales; Juglandaceae
Exons: 2
Source: RefSeq, a predicted model, not a curated record